This is a non-coding RNA of Arachis ipaensis, 312 nucleotides long. The record is from RefSeq and is a predicted model, not a curated record. NCBI's taxonomy places the organism in Eukaryota, Viridiplantae, Streptophyta, Magnoliopsida, Fabales, Fabaceae.
UCUGGAACAAGAAUCAGAAUAUGUAUAUUAAGCAGAUUGAAAGCAACACAUCUCCAGGCACUGUUUGUUAUGAUGCUGACAAGGAAUUAGAGUCUCUACCCCACCAAUCCUUUUUUGAUGUAGUUAAAGUACACUAUGGCAAAAGACUAAGGGAUCAAGCAUUGGAGUUCUUGUCAGUGGCCAAAGUGAAAUGAGACAUGAAGUAACAUCAAUCUGUAAAUAUUGCUCCACAGAAAACCUGCAAGUGCUUGAGUUACUCCUUUUCGUAUUUUGUAUUCGAUGUCUUAGUCUCAUAUCUCCACUUUUAUAGUC